Canis lupus familiaris (dog) is the source of this 1380-nucleotide long non-coding RNA. RefSeq lists it as uncharacterized. The transcript is spliced from 3 exons. The record is from RefSeq and is a predicted model, not a curated record. Lineage: Eukaryota; Metazoa; Chordata; Mammalia; Carnivora; Canidae.
AAGAAAGAAAGAAAGAAAGAAAAGAGGGGCAGAGACAAAGAGAAGGAGAGGGGCCUUGUCAGAGCAGAGGGGGGGAUGAGGAGGGAAUCAAUCAGAUUUGGGUCAGAGUGCCAGGCAGGGGCUCCCUCCCCAGGACAAGUGUGGCCUCGCUGUCUGUCCUGAGGACUUGCUCUGAAGCUAAGGGGUGGGGGCAGUGCCCUGGGAGAGCCCCUGACCAUUUGCAGGGGGGCCCUGACAAAAGCCCUCUCAACCGGGGGAGCGUGGGGUGUCCAUCCUCUUGGUGAGUGAGGGCAGCAGAAGGAGCAGGGAGGAGUAGAGGAGAGGGGGGCUGAGCCUUGUCAGUGUGAGGGGCCCAGGGCCAGCCCUGGGGGAGGGGGUUCUGACCAGGUGGGAGCCUGGAGGCCCUGGGUGGGCAUGAGCUGACACUGACCUUCUGUCCUGGGGAGAUGAGGGCGUUGACAUGCUUCAGCACUGGCUUCAGGGAGCUGUCAUAGCGCACACUGAGGUUCUGGAUCUGGAUCUUCCCUUGGUCUGGCCAGUUCUUCGGGAUGAGUGAGGGUGCUGAGGGCACACCGGGGCUCAGCCAGCCGACAGAGGCGGCAGCUGGCAUCCAGGAGGGCCCCCCUUUUCCUACCACGCCCCCCAUCCGGGCCUCUCACCCAGCAGCCCCUCGUAACUCUCCGCCUCGGUUUUGAGGAGCCCAUGGAUGCGCUUCACGGCCCCCAGCUGGAUCUCCAUGUCUGCCAGGUUCCUCACCAUCCAGUUGAGACGCACAGGAGGCCUUGACGGCUGGAGCCCCAGGAGACAGCGUGUGCACGCAGCUUAUGCUGCUCCCCCCGCUCCCCAGCCAUCUGCGUGGGCCUGAACGUGCGUCUCACCAGCUGGCCCACACGGGUCACAGGGCCCACUCCAGACACACGCUCCUCACAGUCAACCACACAGCUCUUCUGGCUCUCGGCGCCCACCUCAGGGCCUCCCUAUUACAGUAAAGGGCACCUCUGCCCACCUGGAUGCUCAGACCAGAAACCGAGGAAUCAUCUAGAUUCACGUCUAAUCCCUGUACAAGACCUCUUAUGUCUACAUCCAAAAUAGCCCUGUGUCUGCCUGCCUCUCCUGCUUGCUGCCCACAAACUCACCUGGCCUACUGCAUCAGCCUCCCCGGAGGUCCCCCUGCUGUCUCCCCACAGCCUGCUCUGCACACAGCAGCCAGCCUAAUCUUUGGAAAUCAUAAAUUGCCUUCCAUCUCUCCCCUGCUUCGAAUAUCAAUGGCUUGAGUCAGUGUGAGCUGGCUCCUGCCAACCUAGCCUCCUUCUAUGCCACAAAUUGCCUUGCUCACUGCCUUGUAGUCACAGAAGUUACAAUAAAGUAAUUUAUUACUUG